This 497-nucleotide ribosomal RNA is filed under the name uncultured bacterium. RNAcentral describes it as "partial 16S ribosomal RNA". It matches the Rfam family "Bacterial small subunit ribosomal RNA", at positions 28 to 507 of the family's 1533-position model. The record is from RNAcentral.
GAUGAACGCUGGCGGCGUGCCUAAUACAUGCAAGUCGAGCGAACAGAUAAGGAGCUUGCUCCUUUGACGUUAGCGGCGGACGGGUGAGUAACACGUGUAUAACCUACCUAUAAGACUGGGAUAACUUCGGGAAACCGGAGCUAAUACCGGAUAACAUAUUGAACCGCAUGGUUCAAUAGUGAAAGGCGGCUUUGCUGUCACUUAUAGAUGGAUCCGCGCCGUAUUAGCUAGUUGGUAAGGUAACGGCUUACCAAGGCAACGAUACGUAGCCGACCUGAGAGGGUGAUCGGCCACACUGGAACUGAGACACGGUCCAGACUCCUACGGGAGGCAGCAGUAGGGAAUCUUCCGCAAUGGGCGAAAGCCUGACGGAGCAACGCCGCGUGAGUGAUGAAGGUCUUCGGAUCGUAAAACUCUGUUAUCAGGGAAGAACAAAUGUGUAAGUAACUGUGCACAUCUUGACGGUACCUGAUCAGAAAGCCACGGCUAACUACGUG